RNAcentral lists this ribosomal RNA (451 nucleotides) under uncultured bacterium. Its description in RNAcentral is "partial 16S ribosomal RNA". It matches the Rfam family "Bacterial small subunit ribosomal RNA", at positions 354 to 796 of the family's 1533-position model. The record is from RNAcentral.
GUGGGGAAUAUUGGACAAUGGGGGGAACCCUGAUCCAGCCAUGCCGCGUGUGUGAAGAAGGCCUUUUGGUUGUAAAGCACUUUAAGCGAGGAGGAGGCUACUUAGAUUAAUACUCUAGGAUAGUGGACGUUACUCGCAGAAUAAGCACCGGCUAACUCUGUGCCAGCAGCCGCGGUAAUACAGAGGGUGCAAGCGUUAAUCGGAUUUACUGGGCGUAAAGCGCGCGUAGGUGGCCAAUUAAGUCAAAUGUGAAAUCCCCGAGCUUAACUUGGGAAUUGCAUUCGAUACUGGUUGGCUAGAGUAUGGGAGAGGAUGGUAGAAUUCCAGGUGUAGCGGUGAAAUGCGUAGAGAUCUGGAGGAAUACCGAUGGCGAAGGCAGCCAUCUGGCCUAAUACUGACACUGAGGUGCGAAAGCAUGGGGAGCAAACAGGAUUAGAAACCCCAGUAGUCC